GACGAACGCUGGCGGCAUGCCUAAUACAUGCAAGUCGAGCGAACAGAUGAAGUGCUUGCCCUUCUGACGUUAGCGGCGAACGGGUGAGUAACACGUAAGGAAUCUACCUAUAGGCGGGGGAUAACAUUCGGAAACGGGUGCUAAUACCGCAUAAUAUCUUCUUCCGCAUGGAAGAAGAUUGAAAGACGGCUCUGCUGUCACUUAUAGAUGACCUUGCGGUGCAUUAGUUAGUUGGUGGGGUAACGGCCUACCAAGACGAUGAUGCAUAGCCGACCUGAGAGGGUGAUCGGCCACAUUGGGACUGAGACACGGCCCAAACUCCUACGGGAGGCAGCAGUAGGGAAUCUUCCGCAAUGGGCGAAAGCCUGACGGAGCAAUGCCGCGUGAGUGAAGAAGGCCUUCGGGUCGUAAAACUCUGUUAUAAGAGAAGAACAAAUUGUAGAGUAACUGCUACAGUCUUGACGGUAUCUUAUCAGAAAGCCACGGCUAACUACGUG
RNAcentral lists this ribosomal RNA (497 nucleotides) under uncultured bacterium. Its description in RNAcentral is "partial 16S ribosomal RNA". It matches the Rfam family "Bacterial small subunit ribosomal RNA", at positions 28 to 507 of the family's 1533-position model. The record is from RNAcentral.